Long non-coding RNA from Thalassophryne amazonica, 478 nucleotides. RefSeq lists it as uncharacterized. The record is from RefSeq and is a predicted model, not a curated record. The transcript is spliced from 4 exons. Lineage: Eukaryota; Metazoa; Chordata; Actinopteri; Batrachoidiformes; Batrachoididae.
UCUUAAAAGAAACUUUAAAGUAACCCAGCAAAUUUUCUUCUAGUUAUUUGCGCUAAAAGUUGCUCUUAGUCGUGUCGUGUGAACGUUUGUGUAUUGACGGUGACAAAUCUUGUCUGGGUCUGUCCCGUUAGCGGAGGUGAACGAUGCUAGCGUCAAACGGAUCCGUCAUGGACCUGCGGUCGCAGUUUGUCAAAGUUAAAGCACAUUACUGUGGGGAUAUGUUGAUCACAGGACCUACCUGCCACUGUAACCUUCAUGGAGUUGUGUGAAGAGGUGAGGAAGAUGUGCAGUGUUGCCAAGCAGCAGCCAAUCACACUCAAAUGGAUUGAUGAUGAAGGGGAUCCUUGUACCAUCUCUUCUCAGAUGGAGCUGGAAGAGGCUUUUCGCAUCUACAGUCGAUCCAAAAAGUCUGGACUCCUUCUGCAUGUUUUCCCCAGUAUCCCGGAGCAGCCUGGUAUGCCAUGCCCCGGCGAGGACA